Molecule: ribosomal RNA, 396 nt
Filed under: uncultured bacterium
Lineage: Bacteria
Description: bacterial SSU rRNA
Rfam family: Bacterial small subunit ribosomal RNA
Source: RNAcentral
AUUGAACGCUGGCGGCAUGCCUUACACAUGCAAGUCGAACGGCAGCGCGGGGCGAACCCUGGCGGCGAGUGGCGAACGGGUGAGUAAUAUAUCGGAACGUACCCAAGAGUGGGGAGUAACGUAGCGAAAGUUACGCUAAUACCGCAUACGAUCUAAGGAUGAAAGCAGGGGACCGGCCAAGGCCUUGUGCUCCUGGAGCGGCCGAUAUCUGAUUAGCUAGUUGGUGGGGUAAAGGCCUACCAAGGCAUCGAUCAGUAGCUGGUCUGAGAGGACGACCAGCCACACUGGGACUGAGACACGGCCCAGACUCCUACGGGAGGCAGCAGUGGGGAGUUUUGGACAAUGGGGGCGAACCCUGAUCCAGCAAUGCCGCGUGAGUGAAGAAGGCCUUCGGUC